GCUAUGAAUUGAUUAUAAUCAAUAUUACCAGUAAGCUCGUUUGUCUGAUUAAUCGCAGCAUAUAAAGUGUAUAUGGUACACUGAUAAAAAUAAGCCGUCUGAUAAAAUCAACACUAUUAGGAUCAUAACUAUUUCAGAGAUACUUUAACUGAAAACGCAUAGAAAUAAAUGUCGAAUUUUGAAAAUAUAUUAGUUACAAAAUAAAUACGAUUUGUUCCCUACUUUUGGAUACUCGACAAAUUUUUUUAGAUUACUUAAAAUGUGGCAACUUGCAGCUGCAACCGGAGAAGCAAAUGAAAUAUUAAUUGAAAAAAAAAAAAAAUUACACACUCGUAUAUAAAGCACACCUUUUGUCGCAAAACGUUAAUAAGUGCGAAAUAAUGAACGCUCUGGAAAUUGGGAAUAGGAAGGGAAAUUUCUCGUAGGGGAAGCCAAGGAGGAAAGAGAAGGGAGGAAGGAGUAAGAAGCGGUGUCAAAGUGCACGAAUUACAUUUUGCUUCUUAUUCGUCCAUUUUGGUUAUUUUUUUAAUAUUUUCUUUUGGCUCAAACAGUACACACAGGGUAUCCUAAAUUCGAGUACACUCGGUUGUGAUCAGUAUUUGGCAUCAGUGGAUCGAACAUUCAAGAACUCAAAUGAUAAGCUUGUUUACGAACUAAAAGUAAUGCUGAUAAUUUCAAAUCGUAUGAUUUGAAUUUGGACUAUGCCAAAAAUCUAGAGUCAAGUCGGGUCAAGUCAAAUAAUCGUAUAUUCAAGACAUUCAUGCUAGUGUAUAUAUAUAUACAUA
Molecule: long non-coding RNA, 785 nt
Organism: Drosophila innubila
Lineage: Eukaryota; Metazoa; Arthropoda; Insecta; Diptera; Drosophilidae
Exons: 3
Source: RefSeq, a predicted model, not a curated record